CCCACCUAUCAGAGCCCUCCAGAGGCUGAAAAGUACUGACGCCGCCGUUUGUAGGGGUCUUUACUUUUCUCCUGAGGACACCCCUUUCUCCAAUCAGCUGGGGUAGCAUUUCUUUAUCUUCCUGUCUCUCUGUCACCAUCCUGGUCUGGCUGUAAGAUCGGUUUCUGAGCCCGUUCCCUUUCCCCUUUAGUGAGUAUGCACCGCGGGUAGCUGGCAACUGAAUCCUGCGGGAGCGGCUCUGACGCGGCCUGCUUGGCUUUGGGGCUUAGAAGGGUUCCAUCAGUCUGCCUUGUGAGAGGCGGUGGAGGGCAGUGGUAGGAGGCAGACCUUGAAGCUGGACAGCCCAGGUUAAAGCCACUGCCCCUUCCACAGCCAGCCGCGUGAUCUGGGGUACGAUGGACAUGCUCCGUGACUCAGUUUCCCCUUCUGUAAAUGCAGGUAGUACCUUAUCCAAUGCUCUGAGGCGUAGUGUGAGAAGCCAACAGGCUAAUAGGUGUAAGGCAAAGUGUGCCUGGCAUGGAGUAAGAGCCCUGGGUGGGAGGGAGUGGUCCCCCUGCCGCACCCUCCACACUCCCUGGGGACGCAGCUGCUGAGAGCCAGUCUAGGGCUUCAGACCCGCAUUUCCGCACAGUGUGGCUUCAGUGUAAACCCACUACAACCCUGGACAGAAGCUGGCUGUUCUGGACUCCCUGGGAAGAGAGCUCCAAAAUAGCAUCUUCCAGAAGGAUUUCCAAGGGUAACCAAUGACACAUGAUUUAGCCUCACAUUGGGGGGACCUGUGCGGUCUGGGGUGGACUCAGUAGGAGAGGGUUAGCCAGGCUGCUCCAGUCCUGCAGAGGCCUUGGCCGGCUCCUGGGAGCUAACCUCUGGGCCCUCGAAAUAUCCUGCCCGAUAGGGAGUCUUGGUGACCCCGGAGUCUGGUGUGCUCUCGAAGUGGGACUUACGGUGAAUGCCUGUUUCUGUUCACCUGGGCCUCUGGCCUCUGCUUCAGCCUGUCUGAGCUUCUGGGGAGGCUAGAGACAGAGCAGUUAAGAUCAGUUAUGCGAGCGCCCCUGGCCUUCAAGCCUGACUCCCAGUACAACCCUGGACCCCCAGGCUCGGGGGCCAUGCGCGUUAUCCCCGAGAGAGCAAACAUCGUCCACAGGACUCCAGGGUGAGAGGACAGCUGGAGACUCGGCGGGUCUCACCUUGAACCCCAUCUGCUGCACCUUUCCCUUUGCUGAUUUUAAUCUGUAUCUUUUUUUUUUUUUUUUUUCUGGAAUCUGCCAUGAUUGUGAGUACGGCAGCUUUUCUGAAUCCUCUGAGUCCUUUCGUCAAAUCAUCGAACCCAAGGGGAGCCCUGCAGACCCCUGACACAGCCUUCCGUUCCUUUUCAUCUGCUCAUUGGCCAGCCACCUCCAGCCCCUCCACGGUCUCCGACUUGCUGACUCUCCAAUCCCACCUUCUCCAGAAGGCUCGUUCAGUUCAUGACACCGGCUCCUCCUUUUAACAUGUCCUGCUUGUUUCACUCACCGAAUCUUCCAGGGAAUGGCUUCCUAUGAAUAGAGAAUGGAAAGAGAAAAUAGAAGUCUGUCUGGAGGAACCUGGCCAACACCACCUUAACCAAUGAUCCAGGCUUCUAUUGUGCAUGAUGUCGCUUGGCUCUGGUGCACUCUCUGAUCUGACAGGAGGAGAAGGGCACUCACUUCUGUGGUACUCUUCCCCCAAACUCGUAACUCCAGUGGAAUCCUGAAACAAACAAACAAACAAACAAACAAAACGUGAGAUGAUCUCAGACUCAGGACAUUCUACAAAAUACCUGACCAUGACUCUUCCAAACUGUUGAGGUUAUGAUAAACAAGGAAAGAUGGCCUAGGAGGUAUGUAAAUGUAAUGUGGGGGCCUGGAUUUGGACCCUGGAACAGAAAAAGGACAUUAGUGGAAAAACUGGUAAAAUCUGAACAGAGCCUGUAGUUUAGUUAAUAGUAAUGUACUAUUGUUAUUAUCAUGGUUUUGAUUAAUAUACCACAAGUUAUGUGAGUGUUAACAUUAGGGAAACUGGGAAAAGCAUGUAGGGCAACUUUGUAUGAUCUUUGCAACUUUCUGUAAAUCUAAAAUUA
This is a long non-coding RNA of Mustela lutreola (European mink), 2098 nucleotides long. RefSeq lists it as uncharacterized. NCBI's taxonomy places the organism in Eukaryota, Metazoa, Chordata, Mammalia, Carnivora, Mustelidae. The record is from RefSeq and is a predicted model, not a curated record. The transcript has 3 exons.